RNAcentral lists this long non-coding RNA (207 nucleotides) under Manihot esculenta (cassava). RNAcentral describes it as "long non-coding RNA (MESC_LNC004761)". The record is from RNAcentral. Lineage: Eukaryota; Viridiplantae; Streptophyta; Magnoliopsida; Malpighiales; Euphorbiaceae.
GGGGCACUGAUGAGAUCCCACAGAGGGAUCAAUGUUAUGUUAAUGUAUAUGCUCAGGUUGAGUUUGGUUGAUGUAUAUGGAAAGAAAAAUUUUAAUUUUUAUGUAUGUUGUUGAUCAUGUAUGGGAUUAUACAGGUUUACAGGUUAGAUGUCAGGCUUGCUACGGGUCCCGGCGGCCUUAAGCCGAUCUGGAUCCUAGCGCCGGUAG